RNAcentral lists this unclassified non-coding RNA (518 nucleotides) under uncultured Glomus. RNAcentral's name for it is "SSU rRNA". It matches the Rfam family "Eukaryotic small subunit ribosomal RNA", at positions 569 to 1089 of the family's 1831-position model. The record is from RNAcentral. Lineage: Eukaryota; Fungi; Glomeromycota; Glomeromycetes; Glomerales; Glomeraceae.
AGCAGCCGCGGUAAUUCCAGCUCCAAUAGCGUAUAUUAAAGUUGUUGCAGUUAAAAAGCUCGUAGUUGAAUUUCGGGAUCAAUACGUCGGUCGUGCUUCGGUACGUACUGGCGUAAUUGAUUUCUCCCUUCUGACGAACCAUGAUGUCAUUAACUUGGUGUCAUGGGAAAUCAGGACUGUUACUUUGAAAAAUUAGAGUGUUUAAAGCAGGCUCACGCUUGAAUACAUUAGCAUGGAAUAAUGAAAUAGGACGUUCGAUCCUAUUUUGUUGGUUUUUAGGAUCAACGUAAUGAUUAAUAGGGAUAGUUGGGGGCAUUAGUAUUCAAUUGUCAGAGGUGAAAUUCUUGGAUUUAUUGAAGACUAACUACUGCGAAAGCAUUUGCCAAGGAUGUUUUCAUUAAUCAAGAACGAAAGUUAGGGGAUCGAAGACGAUCAGAUACCGUCGUAGUCUUAACCAUAAACUAUGCCGACUAGGGAUCGGAUGAUGUUAAUUUUUAAUGACUCAUUCGGCGUACCCG